GACGAACGCUGGCGGCGCGCUUAACACAUGCAAGUCGAGCGAGAACCAGCCCUUCGGGGCUGGGGAAAGCGGCGAACGGGUGAGUAACACGUGGGUAAUCUGCCCUCGGCACCGGAAUAGCCCGGGAAACCCGGAUUAAUGCCGGAUGGCCUCUCGAGCUCUCGAGCUCGUGAGAAAAGGUAGCUUCGGCCUCCGGCCGAGGAUGAGCCCGCGGUCGAUUAGCUUGUUGGUGAGGUAAUGGCUCACCAAGGCGACGAUCGAUAGCUGGUCUGAGAGGACGAUCAGCCACACUGGGACUGAGACACGGCCCAGACUCCUACGGGAGGCAGCAGUGGGGAAUCUUGCGCAAUGGGCGAAAGCCUGACGCAGCGACGCCGUGUGCGGGAAGAAGGCU
RNAcentral lists this ribosomal RNA (394 nucleotides) under uncultured bacterium. RNAcentral's name for it is "bacterial SSU rRNA". It matches the Rfam family "Bacterial small subunit ribosomal RNA", at positions 28 to 416 of the family's 1533-position model. The record is from RNAcentral.